AUGAAGGUGGCGGCGUUAUAUACUUGUCUGCGGUGGUGGUUGGGGCUUCACUUGGAGGUCACUGUUCUGGCUGGCGGCGGCCGGCGGCAGGACGUCGUAGUCAAACUCACACAUGGAAAGCCACUCUCCCCCGACGAUACGCUUGUCUCCAAAGGUGGGGACUUCACGAUCAGCUUCUUCUCCCCAGCAACCUCCAACACGAGCUUAUACCUUGGUAUGUGGUACCAUAACAUCCAGGGCCGCGCAGUAAUGUGGACUGGCAAUCAUGACAACCCAAUCACUGCCACUUCAUCUCCCAUGCUUGCCAUCACCAACAAUCCCGACCUUGUGUUGUCUGACACCCGAGGUCACACUUAUUGGGCAGCAAAGAUGAAUAACAUCACCACCACGGGAGUUGCUGCACUGGACCCGAACCGCAUCUCCAUGCUCAACGCGUAUGGUGCGCUGGUGUUUGGUGGCAUAUACCAAAAGAUCAUCUCCUAUGAAACGGUUGGGAGCACAGCUAGUAGCUAUGACAGCUACACCUUGCGUGGCCCAUUCAGCUAUGUCGACUACAUUGGUGCUGAACCUUCAUUCCAUUGCAUCGAUGGGUUUGAUGCCGCUAGUAUCAACUUCUCUAGCAAAUGUAGAAGAACAACGGUGCUGAAAUGUGGCAAGCCAAGUAAUUUUGUGACCUUGCCUCGAAUGAAGGUUGAAGACAAAUUUUUACCUAUCCUAAAUAGAAGCAUUGAAGAGUGCAUGGCUCAGGUUCAGCCUGUUAAAAAAAAGAGUGCAUGGCUCAGUGCUGCAACAAUUGCUCUUGUAUGGCACAUGCUUACACCAACUCCGGUAUUAAUAGCAUUAUGGCAGACCAAUCAAGUUGAAACAAAGAGCAGAUUGGUAAGGAUUGUGCUUCCGCCCAUAGCCUGCGUAUUAAUGAUCACAUGCAUAGUCCUUGUAAGGAUAUGCAGAUGCCAAGGUGAAAAUCAAAAUUUCCCAUUUGUUAGCUUUGAAGAUAUGGUCACCGAAAUGGAUAACUUCUCUCGGUAG
Molecule: ribosomal RNA, 1029 nt
Filed under: Triticum aestivum (bread wheat)
Lineage: Eukaryota; Viridiplantae; Streptophyta; Magnoliopsida; Poales; Poaceae
Description: partial small subunit ribosomal RNA
Source: RNAcentral